Prosopis cineraria is the source of this 610-nucleotide RNA transcript. RefSeq lists it as uncharacterized. The transcript is spliced from 2 exons. The record is from RefSeq and is a predicted model, not a curated record. NCBI's taxonomy places the organism in Eukaryota, Viridiplantae, Streptophyta, Magnoliopsida, Fabales, Fabaceae.
AAAGAAGCUUCCAAUCCUAACUAUGCUGAGACCCAACUUGUGAGUACCAAUAGAGAUGUCUAUGCCUCUCCUUGUAGACGCAAGAGAAAUGGAAAGCAAAGCACAAGCUUAUCUUCUAUAGCAAUGGCUCAUCUAAAGGUUUUGAGGCUGUCAACACUGCAAGCUCUAGCUUCAAGGUGAUAGGUUUCUUCUUCAUGAUGUCGAACUACAUUGCAAGGAGGUCAUGGUUGUUGAUUGCUUUUCUCUAUGUUUCUCGUCAUGGUUUUGGUGCUUUUGCUGUCUUUGACCUAUCCGCUUUAAAUUCCAUUGUCUCAAUAUCAUUACUAGCUUCUCAACAGCAUUUCAAACCCUAUGGGGUAUUUCAGGGUGCCUCUCCUUACCGCCUUUGUUGGAAUGAGCAACGAUGCACUAUUUUUCUUUGUCCUCUUAAACGCUAAUUGAACAGAGCUUCUUCAAAAAUCGAGACGAUUAGCAAGACAAGUUGGUUCAAGUUGGACGCAGCUCUUGCGUUGAUCCAUUUAGGACUUUUCGUUACUGUCUAUCUGGGUAUUGUUCAAAACUUCACAUUAGCUGGGUUUGCUCUUUUUCCUCUUAUUGUUUUAUGUUUGUC